AGAGUUUGAUCCUGGCUCAGAGUGAACGCUGGCGGCGUGGAUUAGGCAUGCAAGUCGAGCGAUUCCCUUCGGGGAACAGCGGCAAACGGGUGAGUAAUGCGUGAGUAACUUUCCUUCAAGACAGGCAUAGCGACGUGAAAACGUCGGUAAUUCCUGAUGUUCCGAGACAAUCGCAUGGUUGACUCGGCAAAGAUGGGGAUCUUCGGACCUAUCGCUUGGAGAUGGACUCGCGUCCUAUCAGCUUGUUGGUGGGGUAAUGGCCUACCAAGGCUUUUGACGGGUAGCCGGCCUGAGAGGGUGACCGGCCACACUGGGACUGAGACACUGCCCAGACUCCUACGGGAGGCUGCAGUCGAGAAUCUUUCACAAUGGGCGAAAGCCUGAUGGAGCGACGCCGCGUGCAGGAUGAAGGUUUUCGGAUCGUAAACUGCUUUUGUUAGGAAAGAAACGUUAAGAAUUAAUAGUUCUUAAUCUGACGGUACCUAACGAAUAAGCCACGGCCAACUACGUGCCAGCAGCCGCGGUAACACGUAGGUGGCAAGCGUUACUCGGAAUUAUUGGGUGUAAAGGGCAUUAGGCGGUUUAAUAAGUGAGGGGUGUAAUCUUCCGGCUCAAUCGGAAAACUGCCUUUCAAACUAUUAAACUUGAGGUUGGAAGAGGGAAGCGGAAUUAGCAGUGUAAGGGUGAAAUCUGUAGAUAUUGCUAAGAACACCUGCGGCGAAGGCGGCUUCCUGGUCCAAACCUGACGCUAAAUUGCGAAAGCUAGGGGAGCAAACAGAAUUAGAUACUCUGGUAGUCCUAGCUGUAAACGAUGAGUACUAGGUGUUGGCCUUUUGGUCAGUGCCACAGCUAACGCGUUAAGUACUCCACCUGGGGACUACGGCCGCAAGGCUAAAACUCAAAGGAAUUGACGGGGACCCGCACAAGCGGUGGAACAUGUGGUUUAAUUCGAUGCUACGCGAAGAACCUCACCUGGACUUGACAUGCUCGUCAUAACCCUAUGAAAGUAGGGAGUCAGCUCGGCUGGACGAUGCACAGGUGCUGCAUGGCUGUCGUCAGCUCGUGUCGUGAGAUGUUGGGUUAAGUCCCGCAACGAGCGCAACCAUUGCCCUAUGUUGCUACCUGAGUAGCUUGUUUACAAGUUGCUUAGCGCACUCUUAGGGGACUGCCCGGGAUAACCGGGAGGAAGACGGAGAUGACGUCAAGUCAGUACGGCCCUUAUGUCCAGGGCUACACACGUGUUACAAUGGAUGGUAUAAAGGGUUGCCAACCCGCGAGGGGGAGCUAAUCUCAAAAAACCAUCCUCAGUUCGGAUUGGAGUCUGCAAUUCGACUCCAUGAAGCUGGAAUCGCUAGUAAUGGAAGAUCAGCGCGCUUCCGUGAAUACGUUCCCGGGUCUUGUACACACCGCCCGUCAAGCGAUGAAAGCCGGGGGUACCCGAAGUCCUGUGUAGGCAGGCCGAAGGUAAAACUGGUGAUUGGCGCUAAGUCGUAACAAGGUA
RNAcentral lists this ribosomal RNA (1501 nucleotides) under metagenome. Its description in RNAcentral is "bacterial SSU rRNA". It matches the Rfam family "Bacterial small subunit ribosomal RNA". The record is from RNAcentral.